RNAcentral lists this ribosomal RNA (464 nucleotides) under uncultured bacterium. RNAcentral's name for it is "bacterial SSU rRNA". It matches the Rfam family "Bacterial small subunit ribosomal RNA", at positions 355 to 825 of the family's 1533-position model. The record is from RNAcentral.
UAAGGAAUAUUGCGCAAUGGGCGAAAGCCUGACGCAGCGACGCCGCGUGGGGGAUGAAGGUCUUCGGAUUGUAAACCCCUUUCGGGAGGGAAGAUGGAAUGGGGUAACCCAUUCGGACGGUACCUCCAGAAGCAGCCACGGCUAACUUCGUGCCAGCAGCCGCGGUAAUACGAAGGUGGCAAGCGUUAUUCGGAUUUACUGGGCGUACAGGGAGCGUAGGCGGUUCGGUAAGCCCUUUGUGAAAUCUCCAGGCUUAACCUGGAAAAGUCGGAGGGGACUGCCGGGCUAGAGGACGGGAGAGGAGCGCGGAAUUCCCGGUGUAGCGGUGAAAUGCGUAGAGAUCGGGAGGAAGGCCGGUGGCGAAGGCGGCGCUCUGGAACGUUUCUGAUGCUGAGGCUCGAAAGCGUGGGGAGCAAACAGGAUUAGAUACCCCCGUAGUCCCUGAGCGGGCUGGCAAGGCGCAU